RNAcentral lists this ribosomal RNA (456 nucleotides) under Triticum aestivum (bread wheat). RNAcentral's name for it is "partial small subunit ribosomal RNA". Lineage: Eukaryota; Viridiplantae; Streptophyta; Magnoliopsida; Poales; Poaceae. The record is from RNAcentral.
AUGUUAGGGUAUCUCCAACCGUGGAUCCUUAAUAGGGUCUGGACAUCAGACCGCUUGAUCCGUCGUGGGUGGCCCAACUGCGGCUUGUGUCCUCUCUGCAAGCAAGUGCAGGAGUCCGCGGCCCACCUUCUCUUCCAAUGCCGCUUCUCUUUGCGCAUCUGGAAUGACAUUCUCCCGUGGCUCGGAAUGCACCACAUCUCUACUUCUUCUUGGUCGGCGAGCGCUUCGGUCAAAGGAUGGUGGAACGAUAACCUUCAGAUUCGUCUCGGCUUGCCCAAAGCCCUUGCCUCAUUGAUGAUGCUCAUCUCAUGGGAGAUUUGGUCCGAGCGCAACGCGAGAGUCUUUCGCAACGUUGCAGUCCCUCCGGUGGUAAUCGUUAACAAGAUCAAGCAAGAGGUGUCGCUUUGGGCUUUGGCAGGUGCCAAGCACUUGGGUAUUGUAAUGCCGCGAGAGUAA